This 253-nucleotide ribosomal RNA is filed under the name uncultured bacterium. RNAcentral describes it as "partial 16S ribosomal RNA". It matches the Rfam family "Bacterial small subunit ribosomal RNA", at positions 524 to 776 of the family's 1533-position model. The record is from RNAcentral.
UACGUAGGGGGCAAGCGUUAUCCGGAUUUACUGGGUGUAAAGGGAGCGUAGACGGCAAUACAAGUCGGAAGUGAAAUACCCGGGCUUAACCUGGGAACUGCUUUGGAAACUGUAUGGCUGGAGUGCUGGAGAGGUAAGCGGAAUUCCUAGUGUAGCGGUGAAAUGCGUAGAUAUUAGGAGGAACACCAGUGGCGAAGGCGGCUUACUGGACAGUAACUGACGUUGAGGCUCGAAAGCGUGGGGAGCAAACAGG